UACGUAGGGUGCAAGCGUUGUCCGGAAUUAUUGGGCGUAAAGAGCUCGUAGGCGGUCUGUCGCGUCGGCUGUGAAAACUCGGGGCUCAACCCCGAGCCUGCAGUCGAUACGGGCAGGCUGGAGUUCGGUAGGGGAGACUGGAAUUCCUGGUGUAGCGGUGAAAUGCGCAGAUAUCAGGAGGAACACCGGUGGCGAAGGCGGGUCUCUGGGCAUUAACUGACGCUGAGGAGCGAAAGCAUGGGGAGCGAACAGG
This 253-nucleotide ribosomal RNA is filed under the name uncultured bacterium. RNAcentral's name for it is "partial 16S ribosomal RNA". It matches the Rfam family "Bacterial small subunit ribosomal RNA", at positions 524 to 776 of the family's 1533-position model. The record is from RNAcentral.